RNAcentral lists this transfer RNA (73 nucleotides) under Muribaculaceae bacterium. RNAcentral describes it as "tRNA-Pro". It matches the Rfam family "tRNA". From Rfam's summary of the family: Transfer RNA (tRNA) molecules are approximately 80 nucleotides in length. Their secondary structure includes four short double-helical elements and three loops (D, anti-codon, and T loops). Further hydrogen bonds mediate the characteristic L-shaped molecular structure. tRNAs have two regions of fundamental functional importance: the anti-codon, which is responsible for specific mRNA codon recognition, and the 3' end, to which the tRNAs corresponding amino acid is attached (by aminoacyl-tRNA synthetases). tRNAs cope with the degeneracy of the genetic code in two manners: having more than one tRNA (with a specific anti-codon) for a particular amino acid; and 'wobble' base-pairing, i.e. permitting non-standard base-pairing at the 3rd anti-codon position. Lineage: Bacteria; Pseudomonadati; Bacteroidota; Bacteroidia; Bacteroidales; Muribaculaceae. The record is from RNAcentral.
AUGGGUGUAGCUCAGUUGAAAGAGCGCGGCGUUUGGGACGCUGAGGCCGCAGGUUUGAGCCCUGUCACCCAUA